Molecule: transfer RNA, 75 nt
Filed under: Trichonephila inaurata madagascariensis
Lineage: Eukaryota; Metazoa; Arthropoda; Arachnida; Araneae; Nephilidae
Description: tRNA-Gly
Rfam family: tRNA
About the family: Transfer RNA (tRNA) molecules are approximately 80 nucleotides in length. Their secondary structure includes four short double-helical elements and three loops (D, anti-codon, and T loops). Further hydrogen bonds mediate the characteristic L-shaped molecular structure. tRNAs have two regions of fundamental functional importance: the anti-codon, which is responsible for specific mRNA codon recognition, and the 3' end, to which the tRNAs corresponding amino acid is attached (by aminoacyl-tRNA synthetases). tRNAs cope with the degeneracy of the genetic code in two manners: having more than one tRNA (with a specific anti-codon) for a particular amino acid; and 'wobble' base-pairing, i.e. permitting non-standard base-pairing at the 3rd anti-codon position.
Source: RNAcentral
GUCCCCCUGUAGCGUAAUGAAUAGCGUGUUGGAUUUCCAAUCCAAAGGUCGUGAGUUCGAAUCCCACCUGGGAUA